ACACUUACCUGGCAGGGAAGAUACCAUGAUCACGAAGGUGGUUUUCCCAGGGCGAGGCUUAUCCAUUGCACUCCGGAUGUGCUGACCCCUGCGAUUUCCCCAAAGGUGGGAAACUCAGCUGCAUAAUUUGUGGUAGUGGGGGACUGCGUUCGCGCUCCCCUG
This 162-nucleotide small nuclear RNA is filed under the name Erinaceus europaeus (western European hedgehog). Its description in RNAcentral is "U1 spliceosomal RNA". It matches the Rfam family "U1 spliceosomal RNA". From Rfam's summary of the family: U1 is a small nuclear RNA (snRNA) component of the spliceosome (involved in pre-mRNA splicing). Its 5' end forms complementary base pairs with the 5' splice junction, thus defining the 5' donor site of an intron. The record is from Rfam by way of RNAcentral. Lineage: Eukaryota; Metazoa; Chordata; Mammalia; Eulipotyphla; Erinaceidae.